CAUAUUUUACUUAUUUAUUUAUGUUUAUUUGAUAUAUAAAUUUAAUUAAACUGAAUAAAUAAUUUAAAUUAAUGAACUGUACUUAUUGAUUUAAGGUUUUCACUCACCUGCCUUUGGAGAUACAACAAACACUCAACGAUUAAAGGAUCAAUGGAAGCAAGAAUUUUACACUUGCAAUACCAUAAAGUCAAUUUAAGGGGUUUCAAAUUAAAUUCUCUUACAAAUGGUUUUUGGAAUGGAUGGAGUUGGUAAUGAUUGAACUCAUUAUGAUCAUAUUUGGGCAAGAUUUAGUGGAGUUAAACACUAAACCAUUCAACCGCUGGUGAAAAAUUGGGCUGAUAAAAAGUCCAUCAAAGAGGAAACAAUAAAGAAGCCCAUCAGCAUGGACCAUAGAUGAUAAAAGGGG
This is a long non-coding RNA of Vicia villosa (hairy vetch), 406 nucleotides long. RefSeq lists it as uncharacterized. The transcript is spliced from 3 exons. Lineage: Eukaryota; Viridiplantae; Streptophyta; Magnoliopsida; Fabales; Fabaceae. The record is from RefSeq and is a predicted model, not a curated record.